RNAcentral lists this ribosomal RNA (178 nucleotides) under Algoriphagus locisalis. RNAcentral describes it as "partial 16S rRNA. Bacterial SSU". It matches the Rfam family "Bacterial small subunit ribosomal RNA", at positions 1 to 177 of the family's 1533-position model. Lineage: Bacteria; Pseudomonadati; Bacteroidota; Cytophagia; Cytophagales; Cyclobacteriaceae. The record is from RNAcentral.
UUACAAUGGAGAGUUUGAUCCUGGCUCAGGAUGAACGCUAGCGGCAGGCCUAAUACAUGCAAGUCGAACGGUAGAUUGCUUUCGGGUAAUUGAGAGUGGCGAACGGGUGCGUAACGCGUAUGCAACCUACCCUAUACAGGGGGAUAGCCCGGAGAAAUCUGGAUUAAUACCCCAUAGU